RNAcentral lists this transfer RNA (73 nucleotides) under Actinokineospora globicatena. RNAcentral describes it as "tRNA-Asp". The record is from RNAcentral. Lineage: Bacteria; Bacillati; Actinomycetota; Actinomycetes; Pseudonocardiales; Pseudonocardiaceae.
CUCGAUCCUGGCGCGGACGUUGAGCGGGUUGUCGUCCUUCUUGGACCGCUCGUUCGGAUUCAGCGGCUCGCGG